AUGUCCCGUGCUGUUGUUCCGUUGAAUUUUAAUGCGUUCCUUGAGAAAGCAAAGUUGAAAGAUGAUGGUAGAAAUUACACGGACUGGGUCCGUAACUUGAGGAUUAUCCUCAUUGCUGCAUGGAAGAAUUACGUCGUGGAAGCACCGCUAGCUGCCAGACCUGCUGCAGGAGCAACAUCAGAUGUUAUGAACGUCUGGCAGAGAAAAGCUGAUGACUACUCGAUAGUUCAGUGUGCCAUGCUUUACGGCUUAGAACCGGGACUUCAACGACGUUUUGAACAUCAUGGAGCAUAUGAGAUGUUCCAGGAGUUGAAGCUAAUAUUUCAAGCAAAUGCUCGGAUUGAGAGAUAUGAAGUCUCCAAUAAGUUCUACAGCUGUAAGAUGGAGGAGAAUAGUUCUGUCAGUGAGCAUAUACUCAAAAUGUCUGGGUAUAACAAUCACUUGAUUCAACUGGGAGUUAACCUUCCGGAUGAUAGCGUCAUUGACAGAAUUCUUCAAUCACUGCCACCAAGCUACAAGAGCUUCGUGAUGAACUAUAACAUGCAAGGGAUGGAUAAGACAAUUCCUGAGCUCUUCGCAAUGCUAAAGGCUGCGGAGGUAGAAAUCCAGAAGGAGCAUCAAGUGUUGAUGGUCAACAAGACCACCAGUUUCAAGAAAAAUGGCAAAGGGAAGAAGAAGGGGAACUUCAAGAAGAACAGCAAACAAGUUGCUGCUCAGAAGAAGAAACCCAAGUCUGGACCUAAGCCUGAGACUGAGUGCUUCUACUGCAAACAGACUGGUCACUCGAAACGGAACUGCCCCAAGUAUUUGGCGGAUAAGAAGGAUGGCAAGGUGAACAAAGGGACUACGGAUUAA
Molecule: ribosomal RNA, 855 nt
Filed under: Triticum aestivum (bread wheat)
Lineage: Eukaryota; Viridiplantae; Streptophyta; Magnoliopsida; Poales; Poaceae
Description: partial small subunit ribosomal RNA
Source: RNAcentral